RNAcentral lists this transfer-messenger RNA (383 nucleotides) under Kitasatospora purpeofusca. Its description in RNAcentral is "Standard tmRNA". It matches the Rfam family "transfer-messenger RNA". Rfam says of the family: Bacterial tmRNA, also known as 10Sa RNA or SsrA, is named for its dual tRNA and mRNA-like properties. Its role is to liberate the mRNA from a stalled ribosome. Lineage: Bacteria; Bacillati; Actinomycetota; Actinomycetes; Kitasatosporales; Streptomycetaceae. The record is from RNAcentral.
GGGGAUGAUCGGUUUCGACAGGGGAUGUUGAAACAGGGGAAGCGAGCCGAGGAACGCGGCAAUGAUCUCGUUAACCACGUGUCGCAAAAAAAUAAUCGCCAACUCUAAGCGCGAUUCCCAGCAGUUCGCUCUCGCUGCCUAAUUAAGCACCGAUAGCGCUUGGGUGUCAGACCGGGGAGUUCCCGACCCGGACCCUGGCAUAAUCUAGGGAACUCAACCGUCCACCCGGGCUGCGGGGGUGGAGGGGAAAUCAAACAGCAGCUGGGCCUGUUGGCGGCUUGUCCGCGUGACUGCCAGGGCCGAGAAAAGCACAGCGGACUGCGCUCGGAGAAGCCCUGAAUUAACUCCACUGGACCCGGGUUCGAUUCCCGGCAUCUCCACCA